GAUGAACGCUGGCGGCGUGCUUAACACAUGCAAGUCGAACGGGGUACCCCCAAAGGAGUUUUCGGACAACUGCGGGGAAUACCUAGUGGCGGACGGGUGAGUAACGCGUGAGUAACCUGCCUUGGAGUGGGGAAUAACAGCUGGAAACAGCUGCUAAUACCGCAUAAUGCAGUUGGGUCGCAUGGCUCUGACUGCCAAAGAUUUAUCGCUCUGAGAUGGACUCGCGUCUGAUUAGCUAGUUGGUAGGGUAACGGCCUACCAAGGCGACGAUCAGUAGCCGGACUGAGAGGUUGGCCGGCCACAUUGGGACUGAGAUACGGCCCAGACUCCUACGGGAGGCAGCAGUGGGGAAUAUUGGGCAAUGGGCGCAAGCCUGACCCAGCAACGCCGCGUGAAGGAAGAAGGCUUUCGGGUUGUAAACUUCUUUUAAGAGGGAAGAGUAGAAGACG
Molecule: ribosomal RNA, 449 nt
Filed under: uncultured bacterium
Lineage: Bacteria
Description: bacterial SSU rRNA
Rfam family: Bacterial small subunit ribosomal RNA
Source: RNAcentral